This 460-nucleotide ribosomal RNA is filed under the name uncultured bacterium. RNAcentral describes it as "partial 16S ribosomal RNA". It matches the Rfam family "Bacterial small subunit ribosomal RNA", at positions 338 to 795 of the family's 1533-position model. The record is from RNAcentral.
CCUACGGGAGGCAGCAGUGAGGAAUAUUGGUCAAUGGACGCGAGUCUGAACCAGCCAAGUAGCGUGAAGGAUGACUGUCCUAUGGGUUGUAAACUUCUUUUAUAUGGGAAUAAAACGUUUCACGUGUGGGAUUUUGUAUGUACCAUAUGAAUAAGGAUCGGCUAACUCCGUGCCAGCAGCCGCGGUAAUACGGAGGAUCCGAGCGUUAUCCGGAUUUAUUGGGUUUAAAGGGAGCGUAGGUGGAUUGUUAAGUCAGUUGUGAAAGUUUGCGGCUCAACCGUAAAAUUGCAGUUGAAACUGGCAGUCUUGAGUACAGUAGAGGUGGGCGGAAUGCGUGGUGUAGCGGUGAAAUGCUUAGAUAUCACGAAGAACUCCGAUUGCGAAGGCAGUUCACUGGACUUCAACUGACACUGAGGCACGAAAGUGUGGGUAUCAAACAGGAUUAGAUACCCGAGUAGUC